Molecule: long non-coding RNA, 321 nt
Filed under: Mytilus galloprovincialis (Mediterranean mussel)
Lineage: Eukaryota; Metazoa; Mollusca; Bivalvia; Mytilida; Mytilidae
Source: RNAcentral
AAUAAAUUUUGGCAAGAAGUUUUUGAUGCUUGGAAAACCCUUAAUCAAAUUAGAAAACCAAGAUGUAUUGAUGAAAUUCUAUCUUAUUCUUUAUGGGAGGUAGAAAACUUUAAAAUUGGUGGUUCAAGAGUCUACUAUAAAAACUGGGCAAAUGCGGGAAUUUGGACAGUGCAAGAUUUGUUAGAUGACCAGGGCAAAGUUAUGUCAUUUCAAAAUUUCCAACUAUUAUAUCAAUUUAGGCCAAAUAUUUUACAUUAUUAUGGAAUAGCACACUCGCUUAAUGAGUGGUUAAACACGAUAAAUAUUGAAGUAAACGAGAGA